RNAcentral lists this ribosomal RNA (374 nucleotides) under uncultured bacterium. RNAcentral's name for it is "bacterial SSU rRNA". It matches the Rfam family "Bacterial small subunit ribosomal RNA", at positions 524 to 898 of the family's 1533-position model. The record is from RNAcentral.
UACGAAGGGGGCUAGCGUUGCUCGGAAUUACUGGGCGUAAAGGGCGCGUAGGCGGAUAUUUAAGUCAGGGGUGAAAGCCCGGGGCUCAACCCCGGAAUUGCCUUUGAUACUGGAUAUCUUGAGUUCGGGAGAGGUGAGUGGAAUGCCGAGUGUAGAGGUGAAAUUCGUAGAUAUUCGGCGGAACACCAGUGGCGAAGGCGACUCACUGGCCCGAUACUGACGCUGAGGCGCGAAAGCGUGGGGAGCAAACAGGAUUAGAUACCCUGGUAGUCCACGCCGUAAACGAUGAGUGCUAGUUGUCGGCAUGCAUGCAUGUCGGUGACGCAGCUAACGCAUUAAGCACUCCGCCUGGGGAGUACGGUCGCAAGAUUAAA